CAGCCGCCGCGGUAAUACCGGCGGCCCGAGUGGCGGUCACUAUUAUUGGGCUUAAAGCGUCCGUAGCCGGGUUGGGAAGUCCUCCGGGAAAUCUGGCCGCUUAACGGUCAGAAUGCCGGAGGAUACUCCCAGCCUAGGGAGCGGGAGAGGCCGAGGGUAUUCCCGGAGUAGGGGGGAAAUCCUAUAAUCCCGGGAGGACCACCUGUGGCGAAGGCGCUCGGCUGGAACGCGUCCGACGGUGAGGGACGAAGGCCAGGGGAGCAAACCGGAUUAGAUACCCGGGUAGUCCUGGCUGUAAACGAUGCGGACUUUGUGUCGGACAAGCUAUGAGCUUGUCCGGUGCCGGAGGGAAACCGUUAAGUCCGCCGCCUGGGGAGUACAGCCGCAAGGCUGAAACUUAAAGGAAUUGGCGGG
Molecule: ribosomal RNA, 414 nt
Filed under: uncultured microorganism
Description: bacterial SSU rRNA
Rfam family: Archaeal small subunit ribosomal RNA
Source: RNAcentral